RNAcentral lists this ribosomal RNA (253 nucleotides) under uncultured bacterium. Its description in RNAcentral is "partial 16S ribosomal RNA". It matches the Rfam family "Bacterial small subunit ribosomal RNA", at positions 524 to 776 of the family's 1533-position model. The record is from RNAcentral.
UACGGAGGGAGCUAGCGUUAAUCGGAAUCACUGGGCGUAAAGCGCACGUAGGCGGGUUGUUAAGUCGGGGGUGAAAUCCUGGAGCUCAACUCCAGAACUGCCUUCGAUACUGGCGACCUUGAGUCCGGGAGAGGUGAGUGGAACUCCGAGUGUAGAGGUGAAAUUCGUAGAUAUUCGGAAGAACACCAGUGGCGAAGGCGGCUCACUGGCCCGGUACUGACGCUGAGACGCGAAAGCGUGGGGAGCGAACAGG